AAUCAAACCCUUGAUUUCUCAGGGCCAAAAAAUAUUUUUUGAGACAUAAAUAGCACGCUAUUCAUUUCAUUUAUUUUAUUUAAAAAUAAACUUAGCUGGAAAUGUGAAUCAACUAGGUUCUACUAAGUUCUACUAAGUUCUUUACCACUUGCGCUAAGGACGGUCGAUAGGGACUAAAAAAUAUUGAUAAAGUAUAUACUUGGUCCCUAAAAAUACGCUUGUUUCAUACAAAAUGAAUAGAAGAUGAUAUUUAUUACGGUCAUAAAUAUUUGUUUUGAAUUUUUUGUUU
Molecule: long non-coding RNA, 289 nt
Filed under: Ananas comosus (pineapple)
Lineage: Eukaryota; Viridiplantae; Streptophyta; Magnoliopsida; Poales; Bromeliaceae
Description: long non-coding RNA (ACOM_LNC025333)
Source: RNAcentral